Molecule: small RNA, 29 nt
Filed under: Bombyx mori (domestic silkworm)
Lineage: Eukaryota; Metazoa; Arthropoda; Insecta; Lepidoptera; Bombycidae
Description: ovarian small RNA-13905
Source: RNAcentral
CCGGCUGGUUGGGUCCUAUUUGGGGGCCA